This 271-nucleotide ribosomal RNA is filed under the name uncultured bacterium. Its description in RNAcentral is "partial 16S ribosomal RNA". It matches the Rfam family "Bacterial small subunit ribosomal RNA", at positions 524 to 794 of the family's 1533-position model. The record is from RNAcentral.
UACGGAGGGUCCGAGCGUUAAUCGGAAUUACUGGGCGUAAAGCGCGCGUAGGCGGCUCGUUAAGUCGGAUGUGAAAGCCCUGGGCUCAACCUAGGAAUUGCAUUCGAUACUGGCGAGCUAGAGUAUGGUAGAGGGUGGUGGAAUUUCCUGUGUAGCGGUGAAAUGCGUAGAUAUAGGAAGGAACAUCAGUGGCGAAGGCGACCACCUGGACCAAUACUGACGCUGAGGUGCGAAAGCGUGGGGAGCAAACAGGAUUAGAAACCCCAGUAGU